UUGUGGAGCAGAGCCCCGAGAUGAAUCUGAGACACGAUUCCAGGCCCUACGGGGCGCAGCAGGCGCGAAAACUUUACAAUGCAGGAAACUGUGAUAAGGGACCCCGAGUGCCCGUACACGCGGGCUGUCCCGGUGUUUAAAACACAUCGGAAGAAAGGGCCGGGCAAGACCGGUGCCAGCCGCCGCGGUAAUACCGGCGGCUCGAGUGGUGACCACUUUUAUUGGGCUUAAAGCGUUCGUAGCUUGAUUUUUAAGUCUCUUGGGAAAUCUCACGGCUUAACUGUGAGGCGUCUAAGAGAUACUGGGAAUCUAGGGACCGGGAGAGGUAAGAGGUACUUCAGGGGUAGAAGUGAAAUUCUGUAAUCCUUGAGGGACCACCGAUGGCGAAGGCAUCUUACCAGAACGGCUUCGACAGUGAGGAACGAAAGCUGGGGGAGCGAACGGGAUUAGAUACCCCGGUAGUCCCAGCCGUAAACUAUGCGCGUUAGGUGUGCCUGUAACUACGAGUUACCGGGGUGCCGAAGUGAAAAACGUGAAACGUGCCGCCUGGGAAGUACGGUCGCAAGGCUGAAACUUAAAGGAAUUUGGCGGGGGAGCA
Molecule: ribosomal RNA, 598 nt
Filed under: uncultured methanogenic archaeon
Lineage: Archaea; Methanobacteriati; Methanobacteriota
Description: bacterial SSU rRNA
Rfam family: Archaeal small subunit ribosomal RNA
Source: RNAcentral